GACGAACGCUGGCGGCGUGCUUAACACAUGCAAGUCGAACGGAAAGGCCCUGCUUUUGUGGGGUGCUCGAGUGGCGAACGGGUGAGUAACACGUGAGUAACCUGCCCUUGACUUUGGGAUAACUUCAGGAAACUGGGGCUAAUACCGGAUAGGAGCUCCUGCUGCAUGGUGGGGGUUGGAAAGUUUCGGCGGUUGGGGAUGGACUCGCGGCUUAUCAGCUUGUUGGUGGGGUAGUGGCUUACCAAGGCUUUGACGGGUAGCCGGCCUGAGAGGGUGACCGGCCAAAUGGGGACUGGGAUCCGGCCCAAACUCUUCCGGGGGGCAGCAGUGGGGAAUAUGCAACAAUGGCCGAAGGCCUGAGGAAGAACCGCGGCGUGCGGAAUGCCGGCCUUCGGGUUGUAAACCGCUUUGGCCUGUAACGAAGCGUAGGGGAGGGUAAUGGGAAAAGAGGCACCGGUAACUUACGU
Molecule: ribosomal RNA, 467 nt
Filed under: uncultured bacterium
Lineage: Bacteria
Description: partial 16S ribosomal RNA
Rfam family: Bacterial small subunit ribosomal RNA
Source: RNAcentral